This 796-nucleotide ribosomal RNA is filed under the name uncultured Haemophilus sp. Its description in RNAcentral is "bacterial SSU rRNA". It matches the Rfam family "Bacterial small subunit ribosomal RNA", at positions 72 to 862 of the family's 1533-position model. The record is from RNAcentral. Lineage: Bacteria; Pseudomonadati; Pseudomonadota; Gammaproteobacteria; Pasteurellales; Pasteurellaceae.
GAGAAAGCUUGCUUUCUUGCUGACGAGUGGCGGACGGGUGAGUAAUGCUUGGGAAUCUGGCUUAUGGAGGGGGAUAACGACGGGAAACUGUCGCUAAUACCGCGUAUUAUCGGAAGAUGAAAGUGCGGGACUGAGAGGUCGCAUGCCAUAGGAUGAGCCCAAGUGGGAUUAGGUAGUUGGUGGGGUAAAGGCCUACCAAGCCAGCGAUCUCUAGCUGGUCUGAGAGGAUGACCAGCCACACUGGAACUGAGACACGGUCCAGACUCCUACGGGAGGCAGCAGUGGGGAAUAUUGCGCAAUGGGGGGAACCCUGACGCAGCCAUGCCGCGUGAAUGAAGAAGGCCUUCGGGUUGUAAAGUUCUUUCGGUAUUGAGGAAGGUUGAUGUGUUAAUAGCACAUCAAAUUGACGUUAAAUACAGAAGAAGCACCGGCUAACUCCGCGCCAGCAGCCGCGGUAAUACGGAGGGUGCGAGCGUUAAUCGGAAUAACUGGGCGUAAAGGGCACGCAGGCGGUUAUUUAAGUGAGGUGUGAAAGCGCCCGGGCUUAACCUGGGAAUUGCAUUUCAGACUGGGUAACUAGAGUACUUUAGGGAGGGGUAGAAUUCCACGUGUAGCGGUGAAAUGCGUAGAGAUGUGGAGGAAUACCGAAGGCGAAGGCAGCCCCUUGGGAAUGUACUGACGCUCAUGUGCGAAAGCGUGGGGAGCAAACAGGAUUAGAUACCCUGGUAGUCCACGCUGUAAACGCUGUCGAUUUGGGGGUUGGGGUUUAACUCUGGCGCCCGUAGCUAACGUGAUA